RNAcentral lists this non-coding RNA (28 nucleotides) under Rattus norvegicus (Norway rat). The record is from RNAcentral. Lineage: Eukaryota; Metazoa; Chordata; Mammalia; Rodentia; Muridae.
UGCCAAGCUCUAUAUGGAUUUCACUGGC